GGGGAGGCUUGAUAGAAUGUUAGUUAAUAAUAUUGUUUAUUAUUAACUAAAUAUUGUUAGUUAUAAUUUAGUUAAUUAAAUAAAAGUUAGUAUAUGUUAUAAUAAUAUUGUUUAUUAUAAGCUUAAGCAAAGUAAGAAUCACACAUUCUACCACAUUUCUGUGAUGCUGGCUCUGCUUUCUCAAAGCUCCUGAAGCUCUCAGCACCAAGCGACCCAUUUCCUUGAGAUUCAUUCUUCUCCCUGACAUGGUUAUCUCGUGAUCCUACUAGAAUGUCUCCAGGAAAAGAAUAAUAUGGCAAAGGAGCGCCAGACCUGAGGCACCAGAAGCUUGGGCUUUUUCCCAGGGAAGGAGAACUGGAGCUGGGACCAGCCCUUGUGACGGCAAAUCAAGACAGAUCAACUUGGAGUGUUUUGGCUGUAGUCCUGGCAGGAGACUUAGAAGUUCUUUCAUCGGAAACCCUCUGCCUUCUGACUGCAGUAGGUAAGCUAACACUUCUCUUCUCUAAAACUGACUGAAAACUCACCUCCUUCUGGAAGCCUUCCCUGCUGAGUUCUUUACUUUUGCCUUCUGUUCUGUGUCACAGAUGCAACUGGGACCUUUGAAACCAGAGAAGUGUUCUCUGUCUUUGUCAUGUG
This 636-nucleotide long non-coding RNA is filed under the name Mustela putorius furo (domestic ferret). RNAcentral describes it as "lncRNA (ENSMPUG00000031741.1)". Lineage: Eukaryota; Metazoa; Chordata; Mammalia; Carnivora; Mustelidae. The record is from RNAcentral.